GGGGUUGUGGCUCAGUGGUAGAGCACUUGCCUAGCAAGUGCAGGGCCCUGGGUUCAAUCCCCAGCACCA
This 69-nucleotide transfer RNA is filed under the name Ictidomys tridecemlineatus (thirteen-lined ground squirrel). RNAcentral describes it as "Spermophilus tridecemlineatus (thirteen-lined ground squirrel) tRNA". It matches the Rfam family "tRNA". From Rfam's summary of the family: Transfer RNA (tRNA) molecules are approximately 80 nucleotides in length. Their secondary structure includes four short double-helical elements and three loops (D, anti-codon, and T loops). Lineage: Eukaryota; Metazoa; Chordata; Mammalia; Rodentia; Sciuridae. The record is from Rfam by way of RNAcentral.